This 749-nucleotide long non-coding RNA is filed under the name Rattus norvegicus (Norway rat). Its description in RNAcentral is "long non-coding RNA NONRATT026974". Lineage: Eukaryota; Metazoa; Chordata; Mammalia; Rodentia; Muridae. The record is from RNAcentral.
CACUACUGUACCCUCCCCAGUGUACAAGUCUUCCCUGCACAGCAGAGGGCUUCUGUCUCCCUCUACCCACUUCAGGGGCCAGCUUAGUGAGGUGAGCAGCCAAGGAUUCCUGACUGGCCAGGAAAGAAAUGUGAGUGCCUUGUUCUUUCUCUCCAUAACAACCAAGUGUCCAAAGCAUGCUAAGACCAGGCCACAGCCAAUGCUAUGUAUAGCCAUUGCUUCUAGAAAUGAAGAACUGCAGAACUACUUUCCACUUUCUAGGAAGUUUCUUCUUUGCACCCCUUAAUAAUGUCAACCUUAGGAAGUUUAAGGACAAAGGAAAGUUUGAAUUAGAAAAUGUAAAGAACUGGACUGGAGAGAUGGCUCAGCAGUUAAAAGCACUGACUGCUCUUCCAGAGGUCCUGAGUUCAAUUCCCAGGAACCACAUGGUGGCUCACAGCCAUCUGUACUGGGAUCUGAUGCCCUCUUCUGGUGUGUCUGAAGACAGCAGCAGUGUACUCAUACAUAAAAUAAAUAAAAGUUUAAAAUAAAAGUGGAACAUAUAACAAAUUUGAGAAUAAAGCAAAACUUGAUCUGCUUAUUGAGUAUGUAAUGAGAACCUAACAGAAUCAGGCAAAUUUUUUUACAAUAAGCUCACAGGGUUGGGAUUUAACUCAAGGUAGAACAAGCCCUGAGUGGGAUGUGGUGAUAUGCACAUUUAAUCCCAGCACUUGGGAGGCAGAAGAAGGUGGUUCGAAACCAGUCUGGUU